UUUAAGCGAUGUGGGACAUUCU
This 22-nucleotide small nuclear RNA is filed under the name Arabidopsis thaliana (thale cress). RNAcentral describes it as "snRNA_08729". The record is from RNAcentral. Lineage: Eukaryota; Viridiplantae; Streptophyta; Magnoliopsida; Brassicales; Brassicaceae.